Long non-coding RNA from Nilaparvata lugens (brown planthopper), 1085 nucleotides. RefSeq lists it as uncharacterized. Lineage: Eukaryota; Metazoa; Arthropoda; Insecta; Hemiptera; Delphacidae. The record is from RefSeq and is a predicted model, not a curated record. The transcript has 2 exons.
GUAUUUGUCAAAUUGUAUUUUUAUUUAUUAUUAUUAUUCAUAAUAAUAAUAAUAAUGAUAAAGUUGAUAUAUCUAUUUAAUAGUUCAGGACGAAUGUAUUUUUUUUAUAAUAGAUGCAUAUUAUUGUAUAGUUGACUUAGGUCUUAUUAUUCUUCUAUUUAUUUCAUUUUGGCGCAUUUAUUUCAUUUGUCUAAUAUUAUACAUGUUUCAUUUUUAUUCUCUAAUAUCAUUGUCUAUUGUAAUUAAGUAGAGAUGUAUAUGGUUGGUAUACGUUGUCAAAAUUAUUGUUUCAGACAAUGAGAUUUCAGAUUCCUUCUCAUGGAUAGAAAGGAACAUUAUGAUACCUUCUAUAGAGUGAAGCCUUUUAUGACUAACACCAAAUGGAGCUCAUGAUCUAAGUAGACUCCUGGAAGCUAAUGACCCGAAACGCCGACACCACCUCAGUGGGAAAAGGCUAAGAAUAAUACAAAGAGAGAGAAGCUUUACAAAUGUCACCAUUUUCUCACAUCGCGAAUUUUAUCAGUGAAUUUUAGUGAUUUAGUGAAAUAAGUAGUGCAAUAACAUCGAGUGAUAAUCUAGCUAGUUUAGUAAGUGAAUGUAGGCUUCAAAAGUAUGAAGUUCAAGACGAAAUUUUGGCUACCGGUUCGCUACUUCAUGGUUCAAAGAUGGCGUAAUCUAUCUCCAAACUCUGCUAACUCCUCACCAACAUAACUCCAGUCGAAUUUGAAUAUUUCACUAGUGGCUUAUCAGUGAAUUAUGAUCUUUCAUAUUGUUCUGUUCUAUAAUUUAUUCAUCCUCAAAUUGAUUGCUUGAAGUGUUUCUUUUUGAAACGUGAGUGAAUGCAGACCAGUUAUAGCUGUUAAGUGUUGCCAGAUCUUUCUGGGAUUUAAAAGUUUGUUUAGAUGAUUAAUCUUAAUCUCUCAUGCUUUAUAAUACUAACCACAUUGAUACUAACAUACAUUUUUAUCCAUAUUAAUUACUCCAUAAUUCAUUAAAAAUAGAUUAAUACUUAUUUCAUCAAAUUGAUAAGCCAAAGCUGUACUGAUUCUAUAAUUAUAUUUAAAUCAACUUAAUAUUAAUAUAAU